AAUUGUAUAUCCUUGGAUUUAUUUUAAAAGAAUCAUGCUAGAAACAUGUUAAAGCUUCUCCUUAAAGCAUAAUAUGGUAAUAGUCGUGACAAAUAGCAUAUCUGAGAAAACUAAUGUUGCAUAACAACUUUAAAAAUAUCUGCAGACCACGUGAGACAGCGAACGUAGUACUGCCAAGUACCAACACUUUGACAAUGCUUAACUAGACAGUGGUUGGCAUCAAUUGUCUCCCUAUACUGUUGUUAACUUCUUAUAGCUUGCUUGCCUUUUCCUCUCACGAGUUUAACCUACAUUUUCUAUCAAUACUAGCUAUAGGUAGCGAACUCCCUCCUCUCGAGAUUCUAGAAGCAAAAGCAAACAUGUGCAAUGUGACCAGUUGAUGGAAUUGAUCGAGGAAAGAAAAAAGACAAAAACAAACAAACAAGCAGCAUGCUAGAACAUAGGAAUUAACUAUAUACACUUCUUUAAGUAAUGAAAGAAUAAAGGAACAACUUCUUUCAAGAAAGAAUCAAAAUAAUUUUCCUUAGCGCUUCAAAACAAAAAGAGAAUACUCAACAAAACCUCAAAAGAGAGAGAAUCGAUGUACAUUCGGUGAACUACCCCCGGCC
This 608-nucleotide long non-coding RNA is filed under the name Brachypodium distachyon (stiff brome). RNAcentral's name for it is "long non-coding RNA (BDIS_LNC005320)". The record is from RNAcentral. Lineage: Eukaryota; Viridiplantae; Streptophyta; Magnoliopsida; Poales; Poaceae.